GGGUUGUGAGGUUAAGCGACUAAGCGUACACGGUGGAUGCCCUGGCAGUCAGAGGCGAUGAAGGACGUGCUAAUCUGCGAUAAGCGUCGGUAAGGUGAUAUGAACCGUUAUAACCGGCGAUUUCCGAAUGGGGAAACCCAGUGUGAUUCGUCACACUAUCAUUAACUGAAUCCAUAGGUUAAUGAGGCGAACCGGGGGAACUGAAACAUCUAAGUACCCCGAGGAAAAGAAAUCAACCGAGAUUCCCCCAGUAGCGGCGAGCGAACGGGGAGCAGCCCAGAGCCUGAAUCAGUGUGUGUGUUAGUGGAAGCGUCUGGAAAGGCGCGCGAUACAGGGUGACAGCCCCGUACACAAAAAUGCACAUACUGUGAGCUCGAUGAGUAGGGCGGGACACGUGGUAUCCUGUCUGAAUAUGGGGGGACCAUCCUCCAAGGCUAAAUACUCCUGACUGACCGAUAGUGAACCAGUACCGUGAGGGAAAGGCGAAAAGAACCCCGGCGAGGGGAGUGAAAAAGAACCUGAAACCGUGUACGUACAAGCAGUGGGAGCCUCUUAAUGGGGUGACUGCGUACCUUUUGUAUAAUGGGUCAGCGACUUAUAUUCUGUAGCAAGGUUAACCGAAUAGGGGAGCCGAAGGGAAACCGAGUCUUAACUGGGCGUUAAGUUGCAGGGUAUAGACCCGAAACCCGGUGAUCUAGCCAUGGGCAGGUUGAAGGUUGGGUAACACUAACUGGAGGACCGAACCGACUAAUGUUGAAAAAUUAGCGGAUGACUUGUGGCUGGGGGUGAAAGGCCAAUCAAACCGGGAGAUAGCUGGUUCUCCCCGAAAGCUAUUUAGGUAGCGCCUCGUGAAUUCAUCUCCGGGGGUAGAGCACUGUUUCGGCAAGGGGGUCAUCCCGACUUACCAACCCGAUGCAAACUGCGAAUACCGGAGAAUGUUAUCACGGGAGACACACGGCGGGUGCUAACGUCCGUCGUGAAGAGGGAAACAACCCAGACCGCCAGCUAAGGUCCCAAAGUCAUGGUUAAGUGGGAAACGAUGUGGGAAGGCCCAGACAGCCAGGAUGUUGGCUUAGAAGCAGCCAUCAUUUAAAGAAAGCGUAAUAGCUCACUGGUCGAGUCGGCCUGCGCGGAAGAUGUAACGGGGCUAAACCAUGCACCGAAGCUGCGGCAGCGACGCUUAUGCGUUGUUGGGUAGGGGAGCGUUCUGUAAGCCUGUGAAGGUGUACUGUGAGGUAUGCUGGAGGUAUCAGAAGUGCGAAUGCUGACAUAAGUAACGAUAAAGCGGGUGAAAAGCCCGCUCGCCGGAAGACCAAGGGUUCCUGUCCAACGUUAAUCGGGGCAGGGUGAGUCGACCCCUAAGGCGAGGCCGAAAGGCGUAGUCGAUGGGAAACAGGUUAAUAUUCCUGUACUUGGUGUUACUGCGAAGGGGGGACGGAGAAGGCUAUGUUGGCCGGGCGACGGUUGUCCCGGUUUAAGCGUGUAGGCUGGUUUUCCAGGCAAAUCCGGAAAAUCAAGGCUGAGGCGUGAUGACGAGGCACUACGGUGCUGAAGCAACAAAUGCCCUGCUUCCAGGAAAAGCCUCUAAGCAUCAGGUAACAUCAAAUCGUACCCCAAACCGACACAGGUGGUCAGGUAGAGAAUACCAAGGCGCUUGAGAGAACUCGGGUGAAGGAACUAGGCAAAAUGGUGCCGUAACUUCGGGAGAAGGCACGCUGAUAUGUAGGUGAAGCGACUUGCUCGUGGAGCUGAAAUCAGUCGAAGAUACCAGCUGGCUGCAACUGUUUAUUAAAAACACAGCACUGUGCAAACACGAAAGUGGACGUAUACGGUGUGACGCCUGCCCGGUGCCGGAAGGUUAAUUGAUGGGGUUAGCGGUAACGCGAAGCUCUUGAUCGAAGCCCCGGUAAACGGCGGCCGUAACUAUAACGGUCCUAAGGUAGCGAAAUUCCUUGUCGGGUAAGUUCCGACCUGCACGAAUGGCGUAAUGAUGGCCAGGCUGUCUCCACCCGAGACUCAGUGAAAUUGAACUCGCUGUGAAGAUGCAGUGUACCCGCGGCAAGACGGAAAGACCCCGUGAACCUUUACUAUAGCUUGACACUGAACAUUGAGCCUUGAUGUGUAGGAUAGGUGGGAGGCUUUGAAGUGUGGACGCCAGUCUGCAUGGAGCCGGCCUUGAAAUACCACCCUUUAAUGUUUGAUGUUCUAACGUUGGCCCCUGAUCGGGGUUGCGGACAGUGUCUGGUGGGUAGUUUGACUGGGGCGGUCUCCUCCUAAAGAGUAACGGAGGAGCACGAAGGUUGGCUAAUCCUGGUCGGACAUCAGGAGGUUAGUGCAAUGGCAUAAGCCAGCUUGACUGCGAGCGUGACGGCGCGAGCAGGUGCGAAAGCAGGUCAUAGUGAUCCGGUGGUUCUGAAUGGAAGGGCCAUCGCUCAACGGAUAAAAGGUACUCCGGGGAUAACAGGCUGAUACCGCCCAAGAGUUCAUAUCGACGGCGGUGUUUGGCACCUCGAUGUCGGCUCAUCACAUCCUGGGGCUGAAGUAGGUCCCAAGGGUAUGGCUGUUCGCCAUUUAAAGUGGUACGCGAGCUGGGUUUAGAACGUCGUGAGACAGUUCGGUCCCUAUCUGCCGUGGGCGCUGGAGAACUGAGGGGGGCUGCUCCUAGUACGAGAGGACCGGAGUGGACGCAUCACUGGUGUUCGGGUUGUCAUGCCAAUGGCACUGCCCGGUAGCUAAAUGCGGAAGAGAUAAGUGCUGAAAGCAUCUAAGCACGAAACUUGCCCCGAGAUGAGUUCUCCCUGACUCCUUGAGAGUCCUGAAGGAACGUUGAAGACGACGACGUUGAUAGGCCGGGUGUGUAAGCGCAGCGAUGCGUUGAGCUAACCGGUACUAAUGAACCGUGAGGCUUAACCUUACAACGCCGAAGGUGUUU
RNAcentral lists this ribosomal RNA (2932 nucleotides) under Escherichia coli. Its description in RNAcentral is "bacterial LSU rRNA". It matches the Rfam family "Bacterial large subunit ribosomal RNA". Lineage: Bacteria; Pseudomonadati; Pseudomonadota; Gammaproteobacteria; Enterobacterales; Enterobacteriaceae. The record is from RNAcentral.